GGGAACCAUGAGCAAGGCGGGGCUGAUGGGUGGGCUCGGGGCCAUAGUGUAGGAGGCGCCGAUGGGGUUGGAACGUCGAGAAGGAAGACAUGCAAAGAGCAAAGAAUGCCAAAAAGGACGCACGGAGGAGGGGGGUCGCUGUUGGUUAGGAGGCACCAGUGAGAUGGAAAAAAGUCGAAAAGGAGGAGAACGAGAAAGGAUUCAU
RNAcentral lists this long non-coding RNA (205 nucleotides) under Elaeis guineensis (African oil palm). RNAcentral's name for it is "long non-coding RNA (EGUI_LNC034454)". The record is from RNAcentral. Lineage: Eukaryota; Viridiplantae; Streptophyta; Magnoliopsida; Arecales; Arecaceae.